AUUCCGGAUAACGCAUAUUUGCUGGAAUGCUUUAUGCGUCAAAAGGAUUCGUCUGCCCAAGGAUGGGUCUGCGGCCUAUCAGGUAGUAGUGGGUGUAAUGUACCUACUAGCCAGCGACGGGUACGGGUUGUGAGAGCAAGAGCCCGGAGAUGGAUUCUGAGACAUGAAUCCAGGCCCUACGGGGCGCAGCAGGCGCGAAAACUUUACAAUGCGGGAAACCGUGAUAAGGGGACACCGAGUGCCAGCAUCAUAUGCUGGCUGUCCGGAUGUGUAAAAUACAUCCGUUAGCAAGGGCCGGGCAAGACCGGUGCCAGCCGCCGCGGUAACACCGGCGGCCCGAGUGGUGAUCGUGAUUAUUGGGUCUAAAGGGUCCGUAGCCGGUUUGGUCAGUCCUCCGGGAAAUCUGAUAGCUCAACUAUUAGGCUUUCGGGGGAUACUGCCAGACUUGGAACCGGGAGAGGUAAGAGGUACUACAGGGGUAGGAGUGAAAUCUUGUAAUCCCUGUGGGACCACCUGUGGCGAAGGCGUCUUACCAGAACGGGUUCGACGGUGAGGGACGAAAGCUGGGGGCACGAACCGGAUUAGAUACCCGGGUAGUCCCAGCCGUAAACGAUGCUCGCUAGGUGUCAGGCAUGGCGCGACCGUGUCUGGUGCCGCAGGGAAGCCGUGAAGCGAGCCACCUGGGAAGUACGGCCGCAAGGCUGAAACUUAAAGGAAUUGGCGGGGGAGCACAACAACGGGUGGAGCCUGCGGUUUAAUUGGACUCAACGCCGGACAACUCACCGGGGGCGACAGCAAUAUGUAGGCCAAGCUGAAGACUUUGCCUGAAUCGCUGAGAGGAGGUGCAUGGCCGUCGCCAGUUCGUACUGUGAAGCAUCCUGUUAAGUCAGGCAACGAGCGAGACCCGUGCCCACUGUUACCAGCAUGUCCUCCGGGACGAUGGGUACUCUGUGGGGGACCGCCGAUGUUAAAUCGGAGGAAGGUGCGGGCCACGGUAGGUCAGUAUGCCCCGAAUCUCCCGGGCUACACGCG
Molecule: ribosomal RNA, 1032 nt
Filed under: Methanosarcina sp.
Lineage: Archaea; Methanobacteriati; Methanobacteriota; Methanomicrobia; Methanosarcinales; Methanosarcinaceae
Description: bacterial SSU rRNA
Rfam family: Archaeal small subunit ribosomal RNA
Source: RNAcentral